GAUGAACGCUAGCUACAGGCUUAACACAUGCAAGUCGAGGGGAAACGACAUCGAAAGCUUGCUUUUGAUGGGCGUCGACCGGCGCACGGGUGAGUAACGCGUAUCCAACCUGCCCACCACUUGGGGAUAACCUUGCGAAAGUAAGACUAAUACCCAAUGAUAUCCCACGAAGGCAUCCGAAUGGGAUUAAAGAUUUAUCGGUGAUGGAUGGGGAUGCGUCUGAUUAGCUUGUUGGCGGGGUAACGGCCCACCAAGGCGACGAUCAGUAGGGGUUCUGAGAGGAAGGUCCCCCACAUUGGAACUGAGACACGGUCCAAACUCCUACGGGAGGCAGCAGUGAGGAAUAUUGGUCAAUGGGCGAGAGCCUGAACCAGCCAAGUAGCGUGCAGGACGACGGCCCUAUGGGUUGUAAACUGCUUUUAUACGGGAAUAAAGUGGGCCACGCGUGGCUUUUUGCAUGUACCGUAUGAAUAAGGACCGGCUAAUUCCGUG
This 492-nucleotide ribosomal RNA is filed under the name uncultured bacterium. Its description in RNAcentral is "bacterial SSU rRNA". It matches the Rfam family "Bacterial small subunit ribosomal RNA", at positions 28 to 507 of the family's 1533-position model. The record is from RNAcentral.